Long non-coding RNA from Lycium ferocissimum, 241 nucleotides. RefSeq lists it as uncharacterized. The transcript is spliced from 3 exons. NCBI's taxonomy places the organism in Eukaryota, Viridiplantae, Streptophyta, Magnoliopsida, Solanales, Solanaceae. The record is from RefSeq and is a predicted model, not a curated record.
UCCUUUUCUAGUUACAACUUGGCAUUCAAAAGAAGUCCUUUUGAUCUUUUUAUAAACAUUCCUCUUCUCCUCUUUAAUUCCAGAAUUUUGAGGUUCCUGUUGGAUCAAUAACAAAGCAAGCAAAGGGUAUUCUCAGAAUUCUCAUCAACAAAAAGGGAUUUUGAGCUUCCUGUUGGAUCAUUAACAAAGCAAGCAGAGGAUAUUCUCAGAAUUUUCCUCAAGUAAAAGGAAUUUUGAGCUU